GACGAACGCUGGCGGCGUGCUUAACACAUGCAAGUCGAACGGGAUUUAGUAAACAGAAACCUCGGUGGAAGAUUACUAAUGAGAGUGGCGAACGGGUGAGUAACGCGUGAGCAACCUGCCUAUGACAGUGGGAUAGCCUCGGGAAACCGGGAUUAAUACCGCAUAAAAUCGUAGAAACACAUGUUUCAACGGUCAAAAGAUUUAUCGGUCAUAGAUGGGCUCGCGUCUGAUUAGCUAGUUGGUGAGAUAACAGCCCACCAAAGGCGACGAUCAGUAGCCGGUCUGAGAGGAUGAACGGCCACAUUGGAACUGAGACACGGUCCAAA
RNAcentral lists this ribosomal RNA (326 nucleotides) under uncultured bacterium. Its description in RNAcentral is "bacterial SSU rRNA". It matches the Rfam family "Bacterial small subunit ribosomal RNA", at positions 28 to 335 of the family's 1533-position model. The record is from RNAcentral.